This 146-nucleotide unclassified non-coding RNA is filed under the name fungal sp. Its description in RNAcentral is "partial internal transcribed spacer region". The stretch from base 1 to 46 matches the Rfam family "Eukaryotic small subunit ribosomal RNA", at positions 1786 to 1831 of the family's 1831-position model. Lineage: Eukaryota; Fungi. The record is from RNAcentral.
AAGUCGUAACAAGGUUUCCGUAGGGGAACCUGCGGAAGGAUCAUUAAAGAGAGAAAAAAUAAACCAAGAGCAAGAGGAGACAAAAGGAGUAAAUAUAGGAAGAAUAUAAGAGAGAACAACUUUUAGCAACGGAUCUCUAGGUUCUC